GAUGAACGCUAGCGACAGGCUUAACACAUGCAAGUCGAGGGGCAGCACGGUGUAGCAAUACACUGGUGGCGACCGGCGCACGGGUGAGUAACACGUGUGCAACCAACCCCGUACCGGGAGAUAACCCGCGGAAACGUGGACUAACAUCCCAUAACAUUCUAGAGCCGCAUGGCUUUGGAUUUAAAAUUCCGGUGGUACGGGACGGGCACGCGCGACAUUAGCUGGUUGGUGGGGUAACGGCCCACCAAGGCGACGAUGGGUAGGGGUUCUGAGAGGAAGGUCCCCCACAUUGGAACUGAGACACGGUCCAAACUCCUACGGGAGGCAGCAGUGAGGAAUAUUGGUCAAUGGGCGCGAGCCUGAACCAGCCAAGUAGCGUGGAGGACGACGGCCCUACGGGUUGUAAACUCCUUUUAUAAGGGGAUAAAGUUGGCCAUGUAUGGCCAUUUGCAGGUACCUUANGAAUAAGCAUCGGCUAAUUCCGUG
RNAcentral lists this ribosomal RNA (486 nucleotides) under uncultured bacterium. RNAcentral's name for it is "bacterial SSU rRNA". It matches the Rfam family "Bacterial small subunit ribosomal RNA", at positions 28 to 507 of the family's 1533-position model. The record is from RNAcentral.